UUCCAAUUUUUUUUUAAAAGUGAAAUGUUUUUGUAUUUUAAUUUCAUUUUCUUCGUUUUAGAGCACUAAAAACAGCCCCUGGGUUUUUGCUUAGAAUAAGCUCUCAGGAUUUGAUAUAUGUAUUUAACAAGUUGCAUACGUUCUCCUCUCCCUCACCCCACUAGA
Oxyura jamaicensis (ruddy duck) is the source of this 165-nucleotide long non-coding RNA. RefSeq lists it as uncharacterized. The transcript is spliced from 3 exons. The record is from RefSeq and is a predicted model, not a curated record. Lineage: Eukaryota; Metazoa; Chordata; Aves; Anseriformes; Anatidae.